Molecule: ribosomal RNA, 492 nt
Filed under: uncultured bacterium
Lineage: Bacteria
Description: partial 16S ribosomal RNA
Rfam family: Bacterial small subunit ribosomal RNA
Source: RNAcentral
AGUGAACGCUGGCGGUAGGCCUAACACAUGCAAGUCGAACGGCAGCACAGUAAGAGCUUGCUCUUACGGGUGGCGAGUGGCGGACGGGUGAGGAAUACAUCGGCAUCUACUUUUUCGUGGGGGAUAACGUAGGGAAACUUCCGCUAAUACCGCAUACUACCUACGGGUGAAAGCAGGGGAUCUUCGGACCUUUCGCGAUUGAAUGAGCCGAUGUCGGAUUAGCUAGUUGGCGGGGUAAAGGCCCACCAAGGCGACGAUCCGUAGCUGGUCUGAGAGGAUGAUCAGCCACACUGGAACUGAGACACGGUCCAGACUCCUACGGGAGGCAGCAGUGGGGAAUAUUGGACAAUGGGCGCAAGCCUGAUCCAGCCAUACCGCGUGGGUGAAGAAGGCCUUCGGGUUGUAAAGCCCUUUUGUUGGGAAAGAAAAGCAGCAGGUUAAUACCCCGCUGUUCUGACGGUACCCAAAGAAUAAGCAACGGCUAACUUCGUG